AGUGAACGCUGGCGGCAGGCCUAACACAUGCAAGUCGAGCGGCAGCGGGCCCUUCGGGAUGCCGGCGAGCGGCGGACGGGUGAGGAAUACAUCGGAAUCUGCCCUGUCGUGGGGGAUAACCUAGGGAAACUUAGGCUAAUACCGCAUACGACCUACGGGUGAAAGCGGGGGAUCGCAAGACCUCGCGCGACAGGAUGAGCCGAUGUCCGAUUAGCUAGUUGGCGGGGUAAAGGCCCACCAAGGCGACGAUCGGUAGCUGGUCUGAGAGGAUGAUCAGCCACACUGGGACUGAGACACGGCCCAGACUCCUACGGGAGGCAGCAGUGGGGAAUAUUGGACAAUGGGCGAAAGCCUGAUCCAGCCAUGCCGCGUGGGUGAAGAAGGCCUUCGGGUUGUAAAGCCCUUUUGUCCGGGAAGAAAUCGUCUGGGCUAAUACCCCGGGCGGAUGACGGUACCGGAAGAAUAAGCACCGGCUAACUUCGUG
Molecule: ribosomal RNA, 484 nt
Filed under: uncultured bacterium
Lineage: Bacteria
Description: partial 16S ribosomal RNA
Rfam family: Bacterial small subunit ribosomal RNA
Source: RNAcentral